CCAAAUCUCAUGAUAAAAAAUAAUUAAUCUCUCGCCCAAGGAUCACAGAGAGAAUUUGCUAAAAUAGCUAAUGCUUCCCAAACCAAAAUUUCUAUGUAAUUUUUCAGUUCUACACGUUUUAUUUCAAACAAAUGUAUAAAACUAGCAACAGUAAUGUUAGGGGUCAUCUUAAAAGACUUAAACUCUUUUAGUUUCUUCUUUCUUUCCCUUCUCAUAGCCCUUUCAUUUCGUAACAGAUUUUGUUUCUCUCUGAGAACACCGUUUCGUAUGAUCUCACGACCUCAAAAAUAUGUCCUUCGAUGACGUGCUCUUCCACUUUAUUUUUUUGCUCGACAUCCUAAACUCCCACUUGGAGUGAUUCGAGUUUGUCCCCAUUCAGCCAUGUCUGAAAUAGGAAAUAGGAAACAAGAAACAAUAAGAAUGGUUAUGUCAUUUAAUGCGAGAAAUUAUGUCACAAUUUAUUGUAGAAGACAAAAUCUAUUUAUGAAAAAUUUAGGAACUAAUUUAGAUAAGACUUAUAUCAAGUCUAAUUUAUGCACUUAUUUAAAUCAUAAACAGGUUAAAAUAAAUAAUUUAAGUGGUUAAACAACUCCACAAAAAAAAAUAUGUUACUGAUUUUUCAAUCAAAAAAGAAUUCAAAAAAAUGUAGACACCUAAUUUUGUCCCUCCCGAAGUCUAAUUGUAUUCAUUUUUAGUUCACCUUACCAUGUGUCCAACCCCAUGUAAUUAUAUCUCAUAAAAAUACAAAAAUAAAUAAAAAAUAAUACCUCUAACUAAUUUAUCUUAUCCUAACAACCUACCCAAUCAAAAGCUUCCACCUCCCUACCCACUCACAUUUUUAUUCUCACAAUAACAAACUAAAAGAAAUAAUAUAUGGAAGACCCACCAAAAUUCCCACAUCAUAACAAAUUCAUGCCCAUUAUAAAAGAAAAAUUAUAAGAGGAAAAAAGGGGGCUCAUUCUUUAAUCAUCAUUUUCUCCACAAUAACAACAAUAACAAAAUAAUCUUCCUCACAAAAACAACAACAAAAAAAAAAAGGGCGCCGGUGAACAGUAACCGGUGAAAAGUACCAGCAAACAGUACCGGUGAACAGUAACGGUGUGAAAAGUGAUGGUGAACGGGUCAUUAUUUGUCGAGUUGGAUUGUUGGUAUUAAGGUUCGGUUCGAGGCUUCCGGUGCGGACUCUCUUUAUUCAAAUAACAUUGAGUUUGAAAGCUUCAAAUUUAAGGUCCAAUUCUUUCUUCUCUUUCAUUUAAUUCUUAUGUGAUUGUGAUUGCAUGUGAUUCGAUACCGUGGUUUGUUUGUUGAUGUGAACUGUUGGUGACAUUUGGGUGUGUGAUGUGCUAAGCAUGAUUGGUGAAUUUUCGUUAUUCUCGAUUGGUAGAUUGUGUAUUGAAAUGGGUUAAUCACGUGGUUGAGAAUGAAUUAGGGUGGGAUUAAAAUGGAGGAAAAUGAAUAUUGAUUAAUUUUGAUGUAUUGAUAGUGUUGAACAUGAUAGAAUUGUGAUAUGUUGAACUUGGUAGGCAAACGUAGGCCGGGUAGGCAAAUUUAGGAAUAACGAUUUGUUGGAGUGUUUGAAUAUGUGCGUGAAUGGUACUUUCUACUUUAUUGCACGAAAAGUUUAAAUUGUACUCAUUUGGUCGGGGAAUACCCCGAAGGAUUUGUAUUGGUUUAUCCGGGGAAUGCCCCGAAGUAGCAUGUACGCAAAGGAGGCUCGUGAUCAAGGCCCGGAACGUUGGGUGGAGUUUAGUUUAGGAUUAGUUUAGAAUAGAAUAGGUUUUAUAUUUCAGCACCUCUUUUAUUUUGGAUUGUAUAAUUUGGACUGAACAUUAUUUUGGUUUGUUUUAAAUUUUGUGUGAUUUGUUUGUUUGCUUGUUUUGUGUGUUUAUGUGGUUUGUACAUUUGUAAUGUCAAAUUAGCCGAUACGCUCCACCAAGCGACCGUGGUCGAACCACGGGAUCGAGGGGUGCCUUAAAUCUUCCCCUCGGUCAACAGAAUUCCUUAGCCGGAAUCUCUGUUCGCGGAUCAGUUUUUAGAGUCAAACCGGUUCGAAAAGGAUUUUUCAAAGGUGACUUGGCACACCGGAUUAUGCCAAGUGGCGACUCUGAAUAAGAAAAAAUAAUGUAAAUAAUCCUUCUUUUUUUUUUCGAAAUAAAUUUUUUUCAUUUUUGUCACCUUAAUAAUAAAAUCCUUUCAAAAUUAAAAUACGAUCUUUUGUAUGUUGAAAAAGGGGUGUGACAAAAAAUAUGCCCCUUUUAUUAUUAUUCAAAAAAAUAAUAAUACUCCUUUUCACAUGUACUACCAAAAUAUGUGAAGCAAAAAGAAAUAGAGUAGAAAUGUGUUGAAAGUACUAAUUUUUCACUUUUAGUGAAAGUAUGCAGACUGUCAAUGCCAUAUGAAAUCAAAAAAUAGAAAAUAUUAACUCAUUAAAUGCAGAUACAUUUUUUCAUAAAGGUACUUUAACCUUUUCUUUUACCAAAGAAGAAUAUAGAAAAUCGUGAUAUGCAUUUUUCCUUCCCCAAUAUUCUAUUCCCAUAAUUGUUUAAUAAAUACUUUUUCUGUCUCAAAUUACCCGUCCUAAAUUGAGAUGACACAUUUAUUAAAAAAAAUACUUAAUAACAUGGCUAGUUUAUCAUAGUACCUAUAUUAAAUAAUAUUUACAUUUUAAAUUAAAGAAAAGUAAUUAAUGCAAAGAGUAAAAUAUGGGAAAUUUUUUUUGUCUCUUUUUGAUAAAUAAAAAAAAACAAGUAAAAUGAGAAAUCAAAAUAGAAAAUUUGAAACGAAUAAUUUGAGACGGAGGAAGUAAUUAUUAAGGAAUGAAGAAAAGUGCAAUAACUUUCUUUCACAUAGUAUAUCAAACAACACCACUUAAGAAUCCUCUUUUCUAACACUUCAAUGGCAAAAACGAGUUUUUAAUAUGCCGAAUCUAAAGUGUAAUUUUUGACGUGUCUAACUGAAUCAACGAUGCGUCUGACUGGAUUAGCGGUGGCACGUCUAACCAGAUUAGCGGUGGCGCAUCUGACCGGCUUAGCGGUUCGCCUGACCGGAUUAGCGGUGGAGCAUCUGACCGACUUAGCGGUGCGUCUGACCAAAUUUUAGCGUUGGCACGAUUGACCGGCUUAGCGGUGUGUCUGACCAAAUUUUAGCGUUGGCACGACUGACCGGAUUAGCGGUACGUCUGACCAGAUUUUUCAAUUUAUAUCCGAUCAGCAAUUUUUCAUAUAGGUGUGUUCUAAUUCGAUUUUCUAUUUCUUCACUUCAAAUCAAGAUAUUACUUGCAAAAUUAGGGCAAUUAAAUCUGUCUCUAAUGCCAUUGUUGUGUUAAAAUCGGAGCAAAAAUAGUGUGUACCUUAAUAUGUUGUAGCAGAAGUCGUUCAAUUUGUUACCGAAAGAAUCGCUCGAAAUCAAUUUCGUUUCUCUUGAAAAUGGAGUGUAAAUACACAAACUAAAUGUCUUUCUAUUGGAUGUUUUGUUAAUGCAGUAUUUUUACCCUUUUGUGUCAUGGUUUUUCAUCGCACUCAUCUGAAGAAGAAAACUUGAGGAAUAUAAGGGAAGUUGAACGAUUUUCUUUGUAAUUGUUCCACCCAAAAUUCAAAUACAUAAUCUUUAACUUCUUAUUUCAGAUAAAUAGGAAAAACAGAUUGGGUCGGGUCACGUGGGCAACCCAUCACCCGAAAUAUCCAACAAUUGGAAAUUCCCACAAUCUCAAGUUCAACAGAAAAGAAGAAAGAAAAGCAAACGAAAAAUAGGCACAACUAUUUAUCAUAUUCAAAGACAUUCAACUAACAAUAACAAUUAAAUAUAUACUAUACAUGUGUUCAUAUUUCUAAAACAUGUACAACAUUAAUCUUAAAACUUUAAUUAAUUAACAAUCAUGGUGACAAUUGCAUAAGAUCUUUCUACUUUUUUUGCUUAUUGCCUUAUACUGUUCUUGUGCAUCUCCCUAAUUACUUUUACUAGAAAUUAGUUCAUUGCAGUAAGAAUAUAGUAUUUGGUCAUUAUAAUUUGCUACCCUUAAACUUUGAUUACAAAUUCAUCUAUUUUAAAUCACUAGUCACUGAUUUAAGGGUAAAUAGUUCCUAUAGAAAAGGAUAAAUAAAAAUAAUUCUCCUUUCCUUAACCCCACUUUCUUUAAAAGAAAAAGUUGGCUUUGGUAACGCUCCGACCCCCUUGCGGCCUCAAAAGUUAUACUAUGUAUAUAAGAUCAAUUUUUUUAGGUGUGUUUUCUUUUUAAAUUUUUACUGAUCAUCUCUCGUACAAUUAAACAAAAAGAAGAAUUUGUGUAAAAUCUUAUAAUUGUGGCAUUAAUUUUAAAUUCAUAGUGACUAGUGUCAGUAAAAAAGGAGAAAUAAAAGCAAAUGAAAGAUGGACACAACCAUAUAUUAUUAAGAUAUCAUUUUGUUUCAAAACCAUGACAUCCAAACCAACAAUAACAUUUAAAUAUAAGUUCUAAUUUAAUUAACAAUCAUGGUAACAAUUGCAUAAACGUUCUGCACUUCCAGGCAAUAUCUCACAAAUUGGACUUGGAUGUUUGUUCUGGAAAUUGCCAUAACAUCUACUUUGACAACAUUCUUGGUCACACUCUUUGCCACAAGCUCCCAAAUUAGUCAAGCAUGGUCCACUUGCUAGCACCAUUGAACCUAUAUAUAUCAUAAAUGUUAAAAUAAUCAUGGCAAUACUUGCAAGAUUAAAUCGUUGAAUGUCUAAUCUUAAAGUUAUCUUAGUACUGUUAUUAUAUGUUGAAUUAAUGUUUAUGAGAUGUUAUGUUAAAAAUCAGACCGACUCAAGAGAAAUAAUGGUGAAGGACACACAUAGCAUACCUGAUGCAACAAUAAGGAGCAACAUGAAUAAAGUGGUUGAGGAAUUGGCCAUUUUGCCUAUGAGGGAAUUUAUUUUUAAAAAAAAAAAAAAGUAAUGUUCAAGAAAAUAUUUAGAAUAUGAAUAUUGAAGUGUACAAAAUGAGUAUUCAUCUAUGGCUAUAUAUACUGUGCACAAAGCAACAAAUACAGAAAAUUUGAAUGGAAAAGAAAUAUUAGGUAAAAUAAGAAAUGAAUUAUUGUUUUGCAAAAUUUGUACAUUCUUUUAACUUGAC
Molecule: long non-coding RNA, 5092 nt
Filed under: Capsicum annuum
Lineage: Eukaryota; Viridiplantae; Streptophyta; Magnoliopsida; Solanales; Solanaceae
Description: long non-coding RNA (CANN_LNC018051)
Source: RNAcentral